GGCAGCAUAGAGAGCUUGCUCUCUGAUGGCGAGUGGCGAACGGGUGAGUAACAUAUCGGAACGUGCCUAGUAAUGGGGAAUAACUAAUCGAAAGAUUAGCUAAUACCGCAUACGACCUACGGGUGAAAGCAGGGGAUCUUCGGACCUUGCGUUAUUAGAGCGGCCGAUAUCUGAUUAGCUAGUUGGUAGUGUAAUGGACUACCAAGGCAACGAUCAGUAACUGGUCUGAGAGGACGAUCAGUCACACUGGAACUGAGACACGGUCCAGACUCC
RNAcentral lists this ribosomal RNA (273 nucleotides) under uncultured bacterium. Its description in RNAcentral is "partial 16S ribosomal RNA". It matches the Rfam family "Bacterial small subunit ribosomal RNA", at positions 65 to 339 of the family's 1533-position model. The record is from RNAcentral.